RNAcentral lists this ribosomal RNA (1887 nucleotides) under Escherichia coli. Its description in RNAcentral is "partial 23S ribosomal RNA". It matches the Rfam family "Bacterial large subunit ribosomal RNA", at positions 30 to 1941 of the family's 2925-position model. The record is from RNAcentral. Lineage: Bacteria; Pseudomonadati; Pseudomonadota; Gammaproteobacteria; Enterobacterales; Enterobacteriaceae.
GCCCUGGCAGUCAGAGGCGAUGAAGGACGUGCUAAUCUGCGAUAAGCGUCGGUAAGGUGAUAUGAACCGUUAUAACCGGCGAUUUCCGAAUGGGGAAACCCAGUGUGAUUCGUCACACUAUCAUUAACUGAAUCCAUAGGUUAAUGAGGCGAACCGGGGGAACUGAAACAUCUAAGUACCCCGAGGAAAAGAAAUCAACCGAGAUUCCCCCAGUAGCGGCGAGCGAACGGGGAGGAGCCCAGAGCCUGAAUCAGUGUGUGUGUUAGUGGAAGCGUCUGGAAAGGCGCGCGAUACAGGGUGACAGCCCCGUACACAAAAAUGCACAUGCUGUGAGCUCGAUGAGUAGGGCGGGACACGUGGUAUCCUGUCUGAAUAUGGGGGGACCAUCCUCCAAGGCUAAAUACUCCUGACUGACCGAUAGUGAACCAGUACCGUGAGGGAAAGGCGAAAAGAACCCCGGCGAGGGGAGUGAAAAAGAACCUGAAACCGUGUACGUACAAGCAGUGGGAGCACAGAGCAAUCUGUGUGACUGCGUACCUUUUGUAUAAUGGGUCAGCGACUUAUAUUCUGUAGCAAGGUUAACCGAAUAGGGGAGCCGAAGGGAAACCGAGUCUUAACUGGGCGUUAAGUUGCAGGGUAUAGACCCGAAACCCGGUGAUCUAGCCAUGGGCAGGUUGAAGGUUGGGUAACACUAACUGGAGGACCGAACCGACUAAUGUUGAAAAAUUAGCGGAUGACUUGUGGCUGGGGGUGAAAGGCCAAUCAAACCGGGAGAUAGCUGGUUCUCCCCGAAAGCUAUUUAGGUAGCGCCUCGUGAAUUCAUCUCCGGGGGUAGAGCACUGUUUCGGCAAGGGGGUCAUCCCGACUUACCAACCCGAUGCAAACUGCGAAUACCGGAGAAUGUUAUCACGGGAGACACACGGCGGGUGCUAACGUCCGUCGUGAAGAGGGAAACAACCCAGACCGCCAGCUAAGGUCCCAAAGUCAUGGUUAAGUGGGAAACGAUGUGGGAAGGCCCAGACAGCCAGGAUGUUGGCUUAGAAGCAGCCAUCAUUUAAAGAAAGCGUAAUAGCUCACUGGUCGAGUCGGCCUGCGCGGAAGAUGUAACGGGGCUAAACCAUGCACCGAAGCUGCGGCAGCGACACUAUGUGUUGUUGGGUAGGGGAGCGUUCUGUAAGCCUGUGAAGGUGUGCUGUGAGGCAUGCUGGAGGUAUCAGAAGUGCGAAUGCUGACAUAAGUAACGAUAAAGCGGGUGAAAAGCCCGCUCGCCGGAAGACCAAGGGUUCCUGUCCAACGUUAAUCGGGGCAGGGUGAGUCGACCCCUAAGGCGAGGCCGAAAGGCGUAGUCGAUGGGAAACAGGUUAAUAUUCCUGUACUUGGUGUUACUGCGAAGGGGGGACGGAGAAGGCUAUGUUGGCCGGGCGACGGUUGUCCCGGUUUAAGCGUGUAGGCUGGUUUUCCAGGCAAAUCCGGAAAAUCAAGGCUGAGGCGUGAUGACGAGGCACUACGGUGCUGAAGCAACAAAUGCCCUGCUUCCAGGAAAAGCCUCUAAGCAUCAGGUAACAUCAAAUCGUACCCCAAACCGACACAGGUGGUCAGGUAGAGAAUACCAAGGCGCUUGAGAGAACUCGGGUGAAGGAACUAGGCAAAAUGGUGCCGUAACUUCGGGAGAAGGCACGCUGAUAUGUAGGUGAAGCGACUUGCUCGUGGAGCUGAAAUCAGUCGAAGAUACCAGCUGGCUGCAACUGUUUAUUAAAAACACAGCACUGUGCAAACACGAAAGUGGACGUAUACGGUGUGACGCCUGCCCGGUGCCGGAAGGUUAAUUGAUGGGGUCAGCGCAAGCGAAGCUCUUGAUCGAAGCCCCGGUAAACGGCGGCCGUAACU